ACACUCACUAAUAAUCGUAUUAAUCAUCUUCUCUUCAUCGAUGGAGUGUCAUGCAUGAUAUCAUAUCAAGGGUAAUACACACACAUACACACACACCAGCACACACAUACAAGCAUACACACACAGUAUAUAGACAAUAUUGUGUCACAGUGUGUAUAGUACAAUGUGUAUAUUGUGCUUGUUGUGCCACACAGUAAACCUUUCGAUCACCUAUAUAUAAGCGACACUCUCGUAUAAUAGGUAGGGACUGUCCCAGGUGAUGCAUCACCUACGUAUACGUAGGUGAUCAUGAUCUAAAGUUUUACUGUGCCACGCAUGGCCAUAUGGCCAUGGCACACACAAGCACACACACCUCGCGACAGGAUGACCAUCAUAUCACCAGACCAUGACUCCAGGAAUGGAGUAGAUAGAUAGCAAUAGGUGAGCCAUAUAUAAUCCACCUGGUAAAGGUGCUUAGGCCAGACACUUUAAA
RNAcentral lists this long non-coding RNA (472 nucleotides) under Volvox carteri. RNAcentral describes it as "long non-coding RNA (VCAR_LNC000215)". Lineage: Eukaryota; Viridiplantae; Chlorophyta; Chlorophyceae; Chlamydomonadales; Volvocaceae. The record is from RNAcentral.